GAUCCCGUAGCUCAGAUGGUAGAGCAACUGACUUUUAAUCAGUGUGUCGUGAGUUCGAGUCUCACCGGGAUCAC
RNAcentral lists this transfer RNA (74 nucleotides) under Rickettsiales bacterium. Its description in RNAcentral is "tRNA-Lys". It matches the Rfam family "tRNA". From Rfam's summary of the family: Transfer RNA (tRNA) molecules are approximately 80 nucleotides in length. Their secondary structure includes four short double-helical elements and three loops (D, anti-codon, and T loops). Lineage: Bacteria; Pseudomonadati; Pseudomonadota; Alphaproteobacteria; Rickettsiales. The record is from RNAcentral.